Molecule: ribosomal RNA, 433 nt
Filed under: uncultured bacterium
Lineage: Bacteria
Description: partial 16S ribosomal RNA
Rfam family: Bacterial small subunit ribosomal RNA
Source: RNAcentral
AACGAACGCUGGCGGCAUGCCUAACACAUGCAAGUCGAACGAGACCUUCGGGUCUAGUGGCGCACGGGUGCGUAACGCGUGGGAACCUGCCCUUAGGUUCGGAAUAACUCCCCGAAAGGGGUGCUAAUACCGGAUAAUGUCUUCGGACCAAAGAUUUAUCGCCUUUGGAUGGGCCCGCGUUGGAUUAGCUAGUUGGUAGGGUAAAAGCCUACCAAGGCGACGAUCCAUAGCUGGUCUGAGAGGAUGAUCAGCCACACUGGGACUGAGACACGGCCCAGACUCCUACGGGAGGCAGCAGUGGGGAAUAUUGGACAAUGGGCGAAAGCCUGAUCCAGCAAUGCCGCGUGAGUGAUGAAGGCCUUAGGGUUGUAAAGCUCUUUUACCCGGGAUGAUAAUGACAGUACCGGGAGAAUAAGCUCCGGCUAACUCCUUG